This 312-nucleotide long non-coding RNA is filed under the name Manihot esculenta (cassava). RNAcentral describes it as "long non-coding RNA (MESC_LNC004842)". The record is from RNAcentral. Lineage: Eukaryota; Viridiplantae; Streptophyta; Magnoliopsida; Malpighiales; Euphorbiaceae.
AGAAUAAUAAAACACUUAAAACAUAUGAUAACAUGAAAUGCAUCACAUCACAGCUAAUCACAUCAAGGAUGAACUUGUCACCAAUAGCCCUCUACAUGGUCCAACUGUGCCAGAACGUAGAAUGGGUCCUGGUCUUUCCCUUACAUAUCAUAACAUAACAGUGUCUAACUGUGCCAGAAUGUAGAAUGGGUCCUGGUCUUUCCCUUACAUAGUGCCAGCGAACGUAGAAUGGGUCCCACUGGUCUUACUUUCCGUACCGUACAUAUCAUAUCGUCAUAUCAUAGAUCGAGGGCUAUGGAUCAUUCAACAUUC